This 254-nucleotide ribosomal RNA is filed under the name uncultured bacterium. Its description in RNAcentral is "partial 16S ribosomal RNA". It matches the Rfam family "Bacterial small subunit ribosomal RNA", at positions 99 to 354 of the family's 1533-position model. The record is from RNAcentral.
CGGACGGGUGAGUAACGCGUGGAAACCUGCCGUAUACUGGGGGAUAACACUUAGAAAUAGGUGCUAAUACCGCAUAAGCGCACAGCUUCGCAUGAAGCGGUGUGAAAAACUCUGGUGGUAUACGAUGGUUCCGCGUCUGAUUAGCUAGUUGGUGGGGUAAUGGCCUACCAAGGCAACGAUCAGUAGCCGGCCUGAGAGGGUGAACGGCCACAUUGGGACUGAGACACGGCCCAAACUCCUACGGAAGGCAGCAG